Molecule: RNA transcript, 2450 nt
Organism: Cucurbita moschata (crookneck pumpkin)
Lineage: Eukaryota; Viridiplantae; Streptophyta; Magnoliopsida; Cucurbitales; Cucurbitaceae
Gene name: pentatricopeptide repeat-containing protein At5g56310-like
Exons: 2
Source: RefSeq, a predicted model, not a curated record
AUUUAGGGACUUCUUCCGUUAUCGGUAGAGUUCAUCACAACCCAUUUUAGUCAUCAUCUGCUGCACCAACAAUUAACAAUUUCGACUAAUGGCAGCUUUUGGCGUACAAAUGUGGGCUGAAUCAAACAGGAUUCUCUCCCUUUUCGCCACUUCUCUGUCUCCGAUUCACAUCCCUCAAAUUCAAGCUCAGCUCAUCGUUCAAAACCUCCAUUCAAAUCCCACCAUUGCCCACCAUUUCAUAAACACUUGCCAUGAUCUUCGACUUCUCGAUUCCGCUCUUCGCUUCUUUACUCAAAUCCCCAAACCCCACGUCUUCGUCUGCAAUUCCUUAAUCAGAGCCUUCUCCCACUCCAAAAUCCCCCGUACCCCUCUUUCCAUUUACGCCCACAUGAACAGAAACUCCAUUCUUCCCAAUAAUUACACCUUUCCUUUCCUUCUCAAAUCCUUGGCUGAUUUCAACCACCUUGUGAGUGGACAAUCUGUUCAUGCCCACGUUGUGAAAUUGGGCUAUGUUUCUGAUGUUUAUGUGCAGAAUUCGUUGAUGGAUGUUUAUGCGUCGUGUGGGAGAAUGGGGUUAUGCAAGAAGGUGUUCGACGAAAUGCCUCUGAGAGAUGUUGUGUCGUGGACUGUUUUGAUUAUGGGUUAUCGAGUUGCUUUGAUGUUUGAUGAUGCUUUGAUUGCGUUUGAGCAGAUGCAAUAUGCAGGUGUGGUGCCUAAUCGUGUGACGAUGGUUAAUGCAUUGGCUGCCUGUGCAAGCUUUGGAGCCAUUGAAAUGGGUGUUUGGAUACAUGAGUUUGUAAAAAGGAGAGGGUGGGAAAUGGAUGUGAUUUUGGGGACUUCUUUGAUUGAUAUGUAUGGGAAAUGUGGAAGAAUCGAGGAGGGAUUGGUUGUUUUCCAAGCCAUGAAAGACAAGAAUGUGUAUACAUGGAAUGCACUCAUUAACGGGCUGGCAUUGGCCAAAAGCGGAGAGGAGGCCAUUGCUUGGUUUAAGAGAAUGAACGAAGAAGGCGGCAUUGAGGCAGAUGAAGUGACAUUAGUGGCAGUGCUUUGUGCUUGUAGCCACUCUGGCUUGGUGGACAUCGGCAGGCAGAUCUUCGGGUCGAUGAUUGACGGUAAGUUCGGGUUUUCACCAGGAAUCCAACACUAUUCAUGUAUGGUUGAUCUCCUGGCUCGUUCUGGGCGUAUUGAGGAGUCCUUUGAAUUGAUUAAGAAUAUGCCUUUUGAUGCCACCAAAGCAAUGUGGGGGUCUUUGCUAGCUGGUAGCAGAGCUCAAGGGAGCUUGGAAAUGAGCGAAUUUGCAGCACGGAAGCUUGUAGAAAUGGAACCAGAGAAUGGUGCUUAUUAUGCUGUUUUAUCCAAUAUCUGUGCAGAGAUGGGGAAAUGGAAUGAGGUUGAGAAAGUGAGAGAGAUCAUGAAAGUGGAAGGACUGAAGAAGGAUCUGGGGUCGAGUUCUGUUGAGAGCUUCAAGAGGCUGCCCCAUUUCCCAUGGUAUCGAGUUCCGUGGUCAUGAUAACCGAGGUCUCACUUGUAAUGACUUUGUAAAUGCUUAAAAAGCUCUUGGGCUCAUGAUCUCCCUCAUCGCCUUUGUACUCGAAACAGAUGCGUUGCGCUAACCAGCGCGUAACCUUCCUUUCCCUAUCCCUCUUCUGGUUAUACCAUUACCAAUCUCAGGUAACCCCCGAGCCGGCUGCCCUUGACCUAAGAAGAACCAAUAUCCUUAUUACCAAAUAAGGACUAGCUUACUUCUCCGAUCUCCACCUGAAACUUGUUGGGCCAUUUUGACCAUCCCUGAUCCUAACUAGACUAGAUAAGGGUUAGGAGAUUCUUAUUAGUGUAGAAUAGUCAUUUUCUCUAAGUCGCGCGAGACUGAGUGGCAACAACAUGGAAUAACUUCUUGAACGGAGACGAGUUGCAGAGUUCCAUCCAUUGUUGGGCGUCCAUAGUUUUCUUAGUAAUGGAGAUGCUAAUUGGUAGCAGAUUUGAAGCUCCCAUUAAAUACUUGUGAGCCUGUAAUGGUUUGAGCUCCAAAGCAGAAAGGAGGCAGUGAGAAGUCUUGGAAAGCUGCAUUGGUUACAGGGUUCAAUAUUCCGGCGUCCUAGGCGUAGAGGAACCACACCACCAAUCCAUCCCAAACUUGGUGGUUAAAUUCUACUGCGGUGACAGGUUCAAUAUUCUAGCGUCCUAGGCGUAAAGGAACUACACCAAUCCAUCCCAAACUUGGUGGUUAAAUUCUAUGGUGACGGUCCUAGGCGUAAAGGAACCACACCAAUCCAUCCGAACUUGGUGGUUAAAUUCUACGGUGACAAUACUACAUCCCGAAUUUGGUGGUUAAAUUCUACUACGGUGACAAUAUUGCAAGGCGAUGAUAAAAAGCUUAACACCUCUAAUUCUAAGAUCUUAGAAUCCACCCGAGCCUUCCAUUUUUACUUCCCAUAAAUUGGAUUAUUUUG